UAACAACUAUGAAAAUGUAAACAACAAAUAUCGGGCCCCGGUACCGGACCCAGCGUACCCGCCCAACCAUGAGACGAGCACCUACACUCGUCUCCCUCAUUUUGUCCAUUAGAUGGCCAUCAGCCUGUGCCGGCUGUUAUGCCAAUUCUCCCCAACGAAGAAAAUUUAACCGAACAUUUCUCUCAUCAGAUACGCUAUUUCGAAUCUCAUGCAAGUGGAUAUUUGGUUAGCUUCACUGAUGAAUUAACACUUAUGCACGUGAACGCUUCUUACACGGAAUUCCCUGUUUUUUUAUUUUAACAGCACUAAAUGGAACAGGCGACGAAAUUCCACAAAGAUAUUGCUAGUCGCCGCAAAAGAAACACGCACGAAGGCAAUUUGGAUGCAAUCGUUGCGCCAAUUUAGGAACAAUGUGCCCAAAACUGGGUAUACCACGAAUAUCGGUCGUGCAACAGGUAGGUGAUAUGAAUGGUAUUAAAUCGCUUAAUUCUACCUAAAGAGCUCUCUGGGGAGGUAAGGGGCGAUGUAAAUGGAUAAUUCCAAUUAGGCGCAGAUGCAUCACCUUUGGAAAUUCCCUCAC
Long non-coding RNA from Drosophila novamexicana, 580 nucleotides. RefSeq lists it as uncharacterized. NCBI's taxonomy places the organism in Eukaryota, Metazoa, Arthropoda, Insecta, Diptera, Drosophilidae. The transcript has 6 exons. The record is from RefSeq and is a predicted model, not a curated record.